UCUUGGAAUUAUCAUUAUUGGCCUUUAUAGGACGUGCAUGACUGAACAUCCUCUGAACGUUCUCUAUUUAACAGAAACUUACUGUAUAGGCAAUGUCCUAUGUACCUGGUCCAUAGUAACUCAUUUAGCUCUCAUAACUAGUCAAUGAGUUAGGUCCUGUCAUUACCUGCAUUUUACAAAUGAAGAAACAGACACAAAGAAUUUCAGUAACUUGUUUAACGUAAGUCACACAGCUAAGUGACAGAGCCAGGGUUCAAACCCAGACGUCUUGGUUAUGGAACCCACGCUCUGCAAUCCAUGCUGUCUCUCCAUGUCGAGUUUACCUUGACCAGAAUUGUUGCCAGAUUCUAAAGUCUGGGUAAGAAAGGCUGAGGAUGGGUUGGGCUGUGGCGUGCUACCUGUGCUCUUGAUUAUCUGGGGAACGACAUAUCUUUCCUUAUACCAACACGUCUUGCCUGGCCUCUACAUUUUCUUCUCUGGGAUAACGACUAUUCCAGCAGUUGUCUCAAUAUGGUAAUUACUGCUGGGGCAUUUCUCUUUUAUUAAGCAACAGAGAAGAACAGGUUGGAAAGGUCUCACAAAAAUGCAGGAUUCUGCUCUCAUUCUCAGCCUCUGAUCCAAGCAAGUCCGCAAAUAGAAAGAAUUCCCGAACAUGACAUGAAUAAAGCAAAGAAGUAAUUAUCUGGAUCAUCUCAACGGAGAUUUUCAAGGUACGGUGGAAGAAGGAAUGGCUUAUUACUUGCAGAAAGUUCAGGGUUUUGAAGAAUUCAAUAGAUCCAACAGAAGAGUAUCCUAACCCAAACUGCAGUGUACUUCUUUAGAAAACACCUGUUUUCCUUUGAAAUGGUGCCUUCACUUCAAAUUGUCAUCACUAGAAGUUGGAGGCAAAGCUCUCAGAAUACAGCUCCUUGCUUAAAGCCUUGCAACACUUUCUCUACAAUUUACAUAUUUUCUUGGACAGAAUUCUGAGCAGCAUCUUCUGGAUGUAUUGCUGCAGUAUCAUUAGGAAUUAUAUGUUUCAUUCUUUUGGGAAUAUCAGCAUUUUUGCAACUAAGUACUUUCAAACUUCUUGUAAAUAUCAGAAUAUGUUGGAUAAUCACACCCAGGAAUACGGGAACUCCAUGAUUCACAUGAAAAAUAGAUGCUUUUCAAAGGAUCACUUAAAUUCAGAAAAGUAUGGAGAAGCAUACAAAAACAAAUGGUCUUGUUGUGGAGAGAAAUGCUACUAUUUUUCUGACAAAGAUAAAAACUUUGAAGAGAGUCAUAAAUUCUGCAUCAUCCUUGGCUCGCAUCUUUUGAACAUAGAGGAUAAGGAUGAACAGAUAAUGAGUUUUGAAAUGGGUUCUCUCUUCACAGAAACUUCUUCAAUCUUGAGUGUCUUAUUUUUACUGGAUUGGAUUAUCUAGAAAAGGAAUUGUCAGCCCCGCAAUGUGGGAAGAUGGUUCCUUGAUGCAUUAUAGUUUGCCUCUACAAGGUUCAAAUAUAAACAACAACAACUGUGUGUAUAUCACAGCAACUAAAGUGGCCGCUGGUCCCUGUACCAGGCAGUUUUUCUUUAUUUGUGAGAAUUAUACUAAAUUUGAUCUCAAAUUGAGUGAAGAUAAAUGAAGUAAUGAACAAUCUGGUGCAUCUACUUUUUACCUGCGGGAUGCAGCUGGAUUUCCCUGCAACAUAUUGUAUCCGUUAUAUACUUUGUGAAGAAAUGACCAAUACAUCUGAAUUAUUUUGGAAUUGAGGUUCAGGAAACACACCUUGUGAAAUCACGAUGGACUAUGACAUGACUACACACAUUCUCCUUUUUCUGGGAAGUAUAUUAGUACCUUCAGAUAGAAUGAGUCUCAUUUCUGUAACUUCCAUUUUAUCACUUUUAGGUUUCAAAAAUUUUCACAAUUAAUAUAAUUAAUAGUUGAAAAAUAAAAUAGAAGUAUAUUGAACAAAAACUGACUCUACAUUCCCUUCUAAUUUCUUCAUGUCUCCAGUGUUCACUGUUAAUUUGGUUUGUAUCUUUCCAAACAUUUUUUUCUAGCAUUUACUACAAAUAGUGCAUGAACCUUUACUAUGUAUAUAUCUCUGUGAAUGUACCUAAAUAUUUCUAUAAAGUAGAAAUCUAGAAAAGAAACUGAGAUGUCAAAUUGUAUGCAUCUUUAAAAUCAUGAUUAUAAGUAAAUAUCUACCUUCUAAAAAUGUUGUCAGUUAGCACUUACACCUAUUUUUUCAAA
Molecule: long non-coding RNA, 2219 nt
Organism: Diceros bicornis minor
Lineage: Eukaryota; Metazoa; Chordata; Mammalia; Perissodactyla; Rhinocerotidae
Exons: 8
Source: RefSeq, a predicted model, not a curated record